Molecule: ribosomal RNA, 489 nt
Filed under: uncultured bacterium
Lineage: Bacteria
Description: partial 16S ribosomal RNA
Rfam family: Bacterial small subunit ribosomal RNA
Source: RNAcentral
GAUGAACGCUAGCGGCAGGCUUAAUACAUGCAAGUCGUGGGGCAGCAGGACUGUAGCAAUACAUUUGCUGGCGACCGGCAAACGGGUGCGGAACACGUACGCAACUUACCCUGAACUGGGGGAUAGCCCGGGGAAACCCGGAUUCAUACCCCGUAAUAUAAUGGAGUGGCAUCGCUUUAUUAUUAAAGCUCCGGCGGGUCGGGAUGGGCGUGCGGCUGAUUAGGUAGUUGGUUGAGGUAACGGCUGACCAAGCCUACGAUCAGUAACUGGUGUGAGAGCACGACCAGUCACACGGUGACUGAGCCACGGGCCAGAGUCCUACGGCAGGCAGCAGUAAGGAAGAUUGGGCAGUGGAGGCUACUCUGACCCAGCCAUGCCGCGUGGAGGAUGAAGGCCCUCUGGGUUGUAAACUUCUUUUAUAGGGGACGAAUCCUGUGUAUUCUUACGCAGUUGACGGUACCCUAGGAAUAAGCACCGGCUAACUACGUG